CUUGUUUUAACUUUUGUCAUAAAUGAACCCAUCUACUGAUGAUUACACAUAUCCUGCUACUAUUUGUUCUUCCACCACACGCUAUGUCUAUGUAUGUAUAACCAUGGGCAAUUUUUACAUACUAGUCUCUAGGGAACUAUUUUAUUCUUUCUCUGAGAAGCAAAGUAUUUUGAUCAUAUUCAUUCUCUUUGCCCUACUCGUCCCAGAUCCAUCCCAUUCCCCACCCACCCAGUUUUGAGUAUUUUUUUAAACCUAUCAAAAGACCAAUUUAUGCUGCCCAGUCACUCUUGAUACAUGACUUUCCACUAGAGCAUGGUCAACUCAUCACUAUAUCUUGGCUAAUUUUACUUAAAUGCAUCUAUUUAUCAGCAGAACUGGGGAAAAAAGUGACAUCAAGAGAGAAACAGAGAAAACAUGAUGGCCAGGAAAAAGUUCAGUCAUUGCCGAUUGUCUCUGAGCAUCUUCCACAGAAACAGGAUGUGAUUAAUUUAGCUGUCACUACAGAACAAAGAAGACAAAAUAUGGCAACCACAGUAAUGAAUGGUCCAUGUAAAGCAGUGACAUCAACAGAAGAUGAAAGAAAGUGUGAUAGCGGUGAAAGUAUUCAAUCAUUGAUCCUCCAUGAGCCUCAUGCAGAGAAGAAGAAUAUUGUCCAUUUCCCCAGGAUUGCAGAUCCCAGAGGAGAAGAGGUGGCAAAUGGACAAAAGAAAGCAGAACUAAACUUAUAUGUGGCAUCCAGAGAAGAACAGAAGAAGGAUGACAUCAACAGUAACAGUCAGCCACUGCUUAAACAAAAAAAGAAGACAGGACUCAGCAACAGGACAGACACAGUGGAAAAGCCAUCUUAUGGCAACACUGCUAGUGCCCCUGCUGCUACCACCGAUGAUGAUGAUGAUGAUGAUGAUGAUGGUGAUGAUGGUGAUGAUGACUACUAUGAUGAUGAUGGUGAUGAUAAUGAUGAUGAUGAUGAUGAUGAUGGUAAUGAUGGUGAUGAUGGUGAUGGUGAUG
Molecule: long non-coding RNA, 1008 nt
Filed under: Cricetulus griseus (Chinese hamster)
Lineage: Eukaryota; Metazoa; Chordata; Mammalia; Rodentia; Cricetidae
Description: lncRNA (ENSCGRG00015037257.1)
Source: RNAcentral